This 442-nucleotide ribosomal RNA is filed under the name Corbicula sp. 06B19. Its description in RNAcentral is "partial 16S ribosomal RNA". It matches the Rfam family "Bacterial large subunit ribosomal RNA", at positions 1833 to 2572 of the family's 2925-position model. The record is from RNAcentral. Lineage: Eukaryota; Metazoa; Mollusca; Bivalvia; Venerida; Cyrenidae.
UUGGGGAUUUAUAUAAAAGGUUGGGCCUGCCCGGUGAUCUGAAAUGGUUUAACGGCUGCGAUUGAAACCGUACUAAGGUAGCAUAAUAAUUUGCCCUUUAAUUGGGGGAGAGAAUGAAUGGUUUGACGGUAAAAAAGCUGUUUUAAAAAUAAAAAAAGAAGUUAACUUUUAAGUGAAAAGGCUUAAGUUUUUAUAAAAGACGAGAAGACCCCGUCGAGCUUAAUUAGAAUAACUUAAAUGUAGGUUAUUUAAAAUUUUAUUGGGGCAAUAGAAAAUGAAAUGAAUCAUUUUUUUUAUUAUAAGGAUCCAGUUUUGACUGAAAAAAGCAAAAGCUACCGCGGGGAUAACAGGGUAAUUUUUUCUGAGAGUUCAUAUUUAAAAAGAAGUUUGCUACCUCGAUGUUGGAUUAAAAUUUCUUUAUGCUUGCAGCAGGUAUAAUAGU